AUUGAACGCUGGCGGCAGGCUUAACACAUGCAAGUCGAGCGGGGUGAUGGUGCUUGCACUAUCACUUAGCGGCGGACGGGUGAGUAAUGCUUAGGAAUCUGCCUAUUAGUGGGGGACAACAUCGCGAAAGGGAUGCUAAUACCGCAUACGUCCUACGGGAGAAAGCAGGGGAUCACUUGUGACCUUGCGCUAAUAGAUGAGACUAAGUCGGAUUAGCUAUGUGGUGGGGUAAAGGCCUACCAAGGCGAGGAACUGUAGCGGGUCGGAGAGGAUGAUCCGCCACACUGGGGCUGAGACACGGCCCAGACUCCUACGGGAGGCAGCAGUGGGGAAUAUUGGACAAUGGGGGGAACCCUGAUCCAGCCAUGCCGCGUGUGUGAAGAAGGCCUUAUGGUUGUAAAGCACUUUAAGCGAGGAGGAGGCUCUUUUGGUUAAUACCCAAGAUGAGUGGACGUUACUCGCAGAAUAAGCACCGGCUAACUCUGUGCCAGCAGCCGCGGUAA
This 503-nucleotide ribosomal RNA is filed under the name uncultured bacterium. RNAcentral describes it as "partial 16S ribosomal RNA". It matches the Rfam family "Bacterial small subunit ribosomal RNA", at positions 30 to 523 of the family's 1533-position model. The record is from RNAcentral.